UCAGCUGCUUCUCCGUUACUUCUUCCGGUGCAAGUCCGAGCUGUUGAGAGCGUCGACGGAGCGACUUCUUGGGACUGGCAAUGACGGAAUUUCGCACGGCCGCGAUGGUCUCUGGGGACUUUGAAACCGAUGCUGGCCUGCCGCUGCUGCCCCUGUGAGUAUUCAGGACUGAACCUGUUGUCUCAAAAUGGUUAACAAACCUUGCAAUGAGUUUGUUGCAGGGCAGAUCUCGAGUUUCCAUGUCACACUCGCGUCGAAGUCGGCGGCGGACGGUGACGUACGAUUUCGUCUCGAACCAUAAUCGGA
This is a long non-coding RNA of Amphibalanus amphitrite, 306 nucleotides long. RefSeq lists it as uncharacterized. The transcript is spliced from 2 exons. Lineage: Eukaryota; Metazoa; Arthropoda; Thecostraca; Balanomorpha; Balanidae. The record is from RefSeq and is a predicted model, not a curated record.